Molecule: ribosomal RNA, 253 nt
Filed under: uncultured bacterium
Lineage: Bacteria
Description: partial 16S ribosomal RNA
Rfam family: Bacterial small subunit ribosomal RNA
Source: RNAcentral
UACGAAGGGUGCAAGCGUUACUCGGAAUUACUGGGCGUAAAGCGUGCGUAGGUGGUUUGUUAAGUCUGCUGUGAAAGCCCCGGGCUCAACCUGGGAACUGCAUUUGAGACUGCUCUGCUCGGGUGCGGAAGAGGGAAGCGGAAUUUCCGGUGUAGCGGUGAAAUGCGUAGAUAUCGGAAGGAACACCAGUGGCGAAAGCGGCUUCCUGGUCCGACACCGACGUUCAGGCACGAAAGCGUGGGGAGCAAACAGG